Long non-coding RNA from Corapipo altera (White-ruffed manakin), 4284 nucleotides. RefSeq lists it as uncharacterized. The transcript has 2 exons. NCBI's taxonomy places the organism in Eukaryota, Metazoa, Chordata, Aves, Passeriformes, Pipridae. The record is from RefSeq and is a predicted model, not a curated record.
UGUCCGCACGGACCCGCCGCGGAGGCGGCCCGGGAGCGGAGCGGGACUGCGGCUGAGGGCGCUCCGAGGAGCCCCGCGCCCGGGCGGAGCCACUGUUACUCUGCCCGGCGGCUGCAGCCCGUCCUGUGUCACUGCCGGGGGCGGGGGGUGGCCCUGGCGAUCCCCGGGGGGAGCAACACUGCGGCCGGGCUCCGCUUGUGUUCCCGCCUGCGUUUAGGAGGAAAACAAACUUCGGUGGGUUUGAAGGUUUGGGCUGCGGAAGGUCUGGGGGCGUCCAGUGCAGGUGUGUCUUUAGCUCUGUGGAACUUUGGCUUUACGCUCUGUAAUGCCGAAAGUGGAGGCUUUAGGGUGGUAAUUGGCGAUUUUUUGCAUGUGUGUCUUUCUUUGGCUUCCGCCUCAAGUGCUCCCCUCGCACAGCGGGGCUGCGGUGCACAGCCUGCUCUACGCCCACACUGAAGUCACAGGAGUCAGGAGCAGUCAGCACCUGGCAGGGGCGGAGCUGUCGUGUGUUCCUUAUCAUCUGGGAAACUCGGGGCUGCGUUUUUUCUGCACAGGUCACAUGUUUCGCACCUAGGCUUGGUGAUGUGUCUCUGCAAUGGUGGCUUGAUUGCCUACAGUGGUUUUAGAAGAAAUUCAAGAACUUGAGAGUGCUCAAUUCUGUGAGGCAAGGAGAGUUGCUACUUCCUGCUGUGUCUGUUUCCUUGUAGUGAGUAAAGGGUCUGUGCAGAAAUGAUGGGCAGAUAACCCUUCAUUAACAACUCCUGAAGUCUUCGUGACAAGCAAUUGUAGCAACAUUGAAUGCCGGUUACUGCUGUUAAUAGAAGGAACCCUGCCUUGUACUGAGAGGGAGGCAGAGACUUCCUGCAGCUUUUGCACUCUUGGAUUAGCUGGGUCCUAUGGCUGCAGUACACAACAGUACCAGACACGGUCGUUCCAGCAGCACCUGCCCUGCGGGAAGGCUGCCAGGCGGGAGGAGGCAGCACCCGCGGCAGCCUCUCAGCACAGCCUCCGUCCUCGGUGUGUUUAUAGUGAAGCUGUUACGGAUGAAGGAGGGCAGGGAGGCCAGUGUUUUGUCACCCAGUGGCUUUUUCCCAUCAGUGUGCUGACCCACUGCCAGCUCUGCGAGCUGUUUUCCCCUUUCAUCCCAUUAUCAUCCUCUUGGAGCAUAGAGGUACCUCAUAAAAUUUAUAAGCACUUGCACAUAACAACACAUUUUAGGAGAACCUUGAACGACAGAACAGGAGGCUUACUGUAGGAAGCUAAAAUAUGUCAGUAACGUCUCACUUGUCCCAAACUUCUGGAGUCUUGUUGCUACUAGUUCCAUGGAUCAUAAAAGAAAAUUAUGUGAGAUGCUGUACAUGAAAGCUAAUGACUAAUUAAUUGGGGAUAAUACUUAACUAUGCUGGUCCUGGCAGGGAAAUAAUGAGCUACUGUCAAGGAAUCCUGGCUUUCCAGAAGGUGCAGUCCCUUCCCAUGUAUUUUCCCAUCGGACAGCACCCCUGUGAAGUCCCAGUGUGAUGUGCAUUUACAGCUGCCCCACUGCUGACAGGUGCACUUGCUCCCUAGGACUGUGCAGUGGGGUUUGCAUGGCAGAAGCAUUGUUUACAUUGGAAACUAAUUCUUUAAGAAAUGUGGAGUUAAUUCAGAUACAGCAAUUGAAAAGUCUGGCUGAUUCUUUUAUCAAGCAUGUUCUAUAAGCACAAUGAAAAUAUAUUCCUUCUGCUGUAUUUAAGAAAUAAUUGAAAAUAAUUUAUGCCUUUAAAAGUUUCAGCUACUAAGUUUGAAGCAUGCUAGAUACUAAUGAACGAAAGUAUUCACCCAAGGGCCUUACAGAGCAACUCUUUUCCAUUAUUUCCAAGUGUGUAUUUGUGGUAUUUUCACUGCACUUCCAAUUCAGCAGAGUCUGAAUCAUUCUGCACAGAAUCCCAGGUCCCGUUGGCUGCAGACCUACAGCACCAGAGUGCACCAAGCUCCACCAAGUGAAAUGUGAGCUGCUGGGAGUUUUUUUCCUUUCUAUGAAAAGAGGUGUAUCUGUGGAAUGAGGAGAGUGCACUUUCGUGGAAUUUACUGACCAUUUAAUGGCUGAACGCAAGUUGAAAGCAGAAAUAAAAGUCUGCUGGUUUAGAUCCCCUGCUGUAUACAAGUUCUUAAACUGUUAUGUGUGAGAGGGUCUGGGUUUGUGUGGGUUUAAUUUCUUUCUUAAAGAGAUUUUGUGUUUUCUAAAUGUGAAGUUGUCCUUACAAAUUUUUGGAAUGAGAUUAUGAUAUUUUAUGCAGAAAUAAGGUGAGGACUAAGCUUAUUUUGUCUUUUUUUUGUUUUGUUUUGUUUUAAGAACAGAUGCAGUGUAUUUAAUUUUCCUACUUUGUAUUGAAAAAGAAUAAAAAAUAGUUUUAAAAAUUACAGCAAUGAAAAGGACUCCUGAACUUGGUAUCUCAUGCUAUUUCUCCAGAAUGUUUAAUGCUUAGCUGCCAUGUUGUAUUUAAGCUAUACAAUUAGCCAAAGAAAAUAAAGACACACACACACCAUCCAAUUGUCCUUUUAUAUUUUUAUUCGGUGUUAAGUAACUCCACAAGAAAACAAAAUCAGUUACUCUGGUGUACGUGAAAUCAGAACAAUACAACCACUUGAAGCAAAAAGUAGAAACAAAUUUCAGCCCAGGAAUGGAAAACUGAUACUUCAGUGCUAUGGAUAUGCAAUGCGCUUCAUCCCACAGUGCGGUUCAGCGUACGCCAACCUUUAAUGCUUUUGUUGUUGUUGUUGUUGUUGUUGUUGUUGUUGUUGUGUGUUUCUAUCCAUAUAGAAAAACUAAAAACCACACUUCAACUCUCACUGAAAGCCUUAGAGCUUUAGCCAUUAAACUAUGAAAACAAGUAAAGACAAUUUGUUAUUGCCCAAGCUCAGUAUAGGAUUUUAUUUUCCCCAAAGGUGCUGGAAUCAUUACACACCACAAUGUAACUACGAGCAACACCUUUGAUAUUUUGAGCCCUUUCUUACCAAAGAAGCAGCUCAAGCCAGUAUUAACUGAGCUGAAGUUUGUGUUUGAAAUAUGUCCAUUUGGUCAUUUCCUGUUCUCAAAUGAAGUUCUAUUCCAUUCUUCACUGUAGUGAUUUGAAGAAUUUGUGUGUAAAGUUCUUUUUUUACUUUCAUGUUACAGUUAACUAGUUCUCAGUGCAGGUGCUAAACAACCUCUCAAGGAAGCUCCAGAAGAAAGUAAAAUAUAUAAAAAUCUAUUCAAAGUCUGCAAAUAAAUUAAGAAAAGAAACUGUAAAGUGUCAAAAGAUUUGUUGUAUGAAUACAAACCCUAAAACAUAGUCUAAGAGGAGGACCAAAAGAAAGUCCCCGGGUAAGGGCAACCAAGCCAAUUUUAGUAAGGAUCUCACCAAAAGCGUUGCACAAAGACUGGCAUGGUUCCCCAACCACAUAUUUAAAUUCUUACACUGUCAACUGAAUAAAGGCAACAAAACCCAGUUACUCAGAAAGCAUUUCUAGCGCAGAACAUAUUUCAAAGGCAGUUCAGCUCACAUUUCAAACAGCUACGUUUCUUGUGAGGUUUAUUGCCUGUCAAAAUUAAUGGUGAAGCUUUUCAAGUCAGUGUUGGACUCUCUGCACUUCCUGGUGUUCUAGACAUGCUGCAAUCGUGUAGACUAGUUAGUUGUUGUCAUUUUUUAAACUAGGAGUUGGCAAAAACUUAGAAUGUUUAGUUUUGCAAAUAUUGCUCCUCCUGGCUUAUACAUUUUGCAUAAUGUGUUAAAAGCACAAGGAGUUGAUAGUCUUGUACAGAUGCAACUUGACAAUGUAUUGACUUUCUAAGUUAACAAAAUAAAAUUUAAAAGCAAGUCACAUAAAGCAACAAUCACUACUGCAAUCACACAUGUUAUGUUGUAAUUCAUCACCUUCCCUACCCCCACCCACCACACACAGAACUUGCCCCACACAUUCUCUCAGGAACACAAAAUGAACUACGAGAUUUACUAAAUUACAGCCACAACAGCAGCUAACUGCAGCAGCCACAGGAUUUCUUUCAAGUGAAGCACUGACCCUUUGCAUUUAGAACAUUGAACACUCUGAGCAUUUUAGAGAGUUUCAGUCAUUCAGGCUCAAGUUCAGUUACAGGAUGCUUUUGCAGGUUACAUGAAUGCCUUCAUCUGCAACAAGACAACAUUCUCAUUACUCGUUAACAAAAUUCACAACAAUCCACACAUCACCCCAGUGGUUUAUUAUUUUUGGUGUUACUUUUUAAACUUCUGCCCCACAUUGGCAAGUUGCUAAAAAGGACAAAAAAAA